This is a long non-coding RNA of Homo sapiens (human), 803 nucleotides long. Lineage: Eukaryota; Metazoa; Chordata; Mammalia; Primates; Hominidae. The record is from Ensembl.
GUCAGGGCUCCACUGUUUGGAUCAAUCAGAACUGAACAAGUUUAAAUCUGCCAUUUGCAUGAAUAAGCCAGAUCAAGAACCACGGCAAGAACUUUCCCUAUUUAAGCCAGACCCUCCCUUUGUUCCUUGGAGUGGUCACAAAUAGAGCCUUCCAAAUGUGAGGGAGGACAAUGGUAACAUGAAUUGACUGAGUACAUAUCAAGUCUUACACUGUAUACUUCACAUGCACUAACUCUCCUACUCUUCACAACAAGCAUGCAAGGUGGGAAAAUAGAGGCUGAGAGAAAUUGAGUAACUUGCCUCAAGCCAUAUAUUCGGCACCGAGAUGUGAUCUGAGCCAGAGCCAACAACUGAGGUCCAAACAGCGUGCCUUGCGCAAGGCCACACAAGAGAUAAUGGCAUUGGCUGUACCAGUGGCCCAGAUCCUUCACCUGCAGAAGAGCUUCCCAGAGAGGAGCAAGCCUUCCUGCCGUCACCUCUGGUGUCAUCCUAUAGGACAUUAAAACCAACUCAAGAUUGUGUUGAAAACUGUUUUCCUUUUGAGGAUGCUAAUAAGAACAAGAUCAUAUCAACGGGUAUGGAUCAUGGCAGGAUUUUCCUUCAGCUGAGUCUUUUAAUGAGCCGUUUCAUAAUGAGGGCUGAAUCUACACACAGUAUCUACAUGCUAGCCAAGGUUUAAAGACUUUUAUAAUAUUUUCCUCCAUUCUCACCCCCUUCGAAGCCCUGGCUUUAAUUCUUUUAAACAGUAACAUUCAUUGGCUGUUAAGUAAAACAGGAGAGAACACAAUAAAUUUAUGAUAUUU